UGCAAGUCGUACGAUGAAGCCCUUCGGGGUGGAUUAGUGGCGAACGGGUGAGUAACACGUGGGCAAUCUGCCCUUCACUCUGGGACAAGCCCUGGAAACGGGGUCUAAUACCGGAUAACACUCUGUCCCGCAUGGGACGGGGUUAAAAGCUCCGGCGGUGAAGGAUGAGCCCGCGGCCUAUCAGCUUGUUGGUGGGGUAAUGGCCUACCAAGGCGACGACGGGUAGCCGGCCUGAGAGGGCGACCGGCCACACUGGGACUGAGACACGGCCCAGACUCCUACGGGAGGCAGCAGUGGGGAAUAUUGCACAAUGGGCGAAAGCCUGAUGCAGCGACGCCGCGUGAGGGAUGACGGCCUUCGGGUUGUAAACCUCUUUCAGCAGGGAAGAAGCGAAAGUGACGGUACCUGCAGAAGAAGCGCCGGCUAACUACGUGCCAGCAGCCGCGGUAAUACGUAGGGCGCAAGCGUUGUCCGGAAUUAUUGGGCGUAAAGAGCUCGUAGGCGGCUUGUCACGUCGGAUGUGAAAGCCCGGGGCUUAACCCCGGGUCUGCAUUCGAUACGGGCUAGCUAGAGUGUGGUAGGGGAGAUCGGAAUUCCUGGUGUAGCGGUGAAAUGCGCAGAUAUCAGGAGGAACACCGGUGGCGAAGGCGGAUCUCUGGGCCAUUACUGACGCUGAGGAGCGAAAGCGUGGGAGCGAACAGGAUUAGAUACCCUGGUAGUCCACGCCGUAAACGUUGGGAACUAGGUGUUGGCGACAUUCCACGUCGUCGGUGCCGCAGCUAACGCA
RNAcentral lists this ribosomal RNA (787 nucleotides) under Streptomyces sp. Maralbishi17. RNAcentral's name for it is "bacterial SSU rRNA". It matches the Rfam family "Bacterial small subunit ribosomal RNA", at positions 56 to 859 of the family's 1533-position model. Lineage: Bacteria; Bacillati; Actinomycetota; Actinomycetes; Kitasatosporales; Streptomycetaceae. The record is from RNAcentral.